This 253-nucleotide ribosomal RNA is filed under the name uncultured bacterium. Its description in RNAcentral is "partial 16S ribosomal RNA". It matches the Rfam family "Bacterial small subunit ribosomal RNA", at positions 524 to 776 of the family's 1533-position model. The record is from RNAcentral.
GACGGAGGAUGCAAGUGUUAUCCGGAAUCACUGGGCGUAAAGCGUCUGUAGGUGGUCAAAUAAGUCAACUGUUAAAUCUUGAGGCUCAACCUCAAAAUCGCAGUCGAAACUAUUAGACUAGAGUAUAGUAGGGGUAAAGGGAAUUUCCAGUGGAGCGGUGAAAUGCGUAGAGAUCCGGAGGAACCCCAGAGGCGAAGGCGGCGCCCUGGCUCGCAACUGACGCUCAGACACGACAGCAUGGGGAGCGAACGGG